RNAcentral lists this unclassified non-coding RNA (236 nucleotides) under uncultured fungus. Its description in RNAcentral is "sequence contains ITS1". The record is from RNAcentral. Lineage: Eukaryota; Fungi.
GUAUUGUAUUGCGUUAAACGCGGCAUACAUUCCAUGAGACUUUAUUACAGCGUGUGUGUGUGUAAAUACAUAGAACCACAGCAAGGGGGGACAGAACCCCCCAGGCUGGAGAACUACGGAGGGUGCACAGGUGUGAGUGGAUGUGCAAACAGAGCGUGCACAUGCCCCCGUUUGAGGACCAGCAACAACUCGUUGACAAUUCGGUAAUGAUCCUUCCGCAGGUUCACCUACGGAAA